CUUUCAGUGUCCGAGUUGUAAUUUGAAGAAGGUAUCUUUGGGUCUGGCUCUUGUCUAUGUUUCUUGGAACAGAACGUCACAGAGGGUGAGAAUCCCGUGCGAUGAGAUGUCCCAGACCUAUGUAAAGUUCCUUCGAAGAGUCGAGUUGUUUGGGAAUGCAGCUCUAAGUGGGUGGUAAAUUCCAUCUAAAGCUAAAUAUUGGCGAGAGACCGAUAGCGAACAAGUACAGUGAUGGAAAGAUGAAAAGAACUUUGAAAAGAGAGUGAAAAAGUACGUGAAAUUGUUGAAAGGGAAGGGCUUGAGAUCAGACUUGGUAUUUUGUAUGUUACUCUCUCGGGGGUGGCCUCUACAGUUUACCGGGCCAGCAUCAGUUUGAGCGGUAGGAUAAGUGCAAAGAAAUGUGGCACUGCUUCGGUAGUGUGUUAUAGUCUUUGUCGAUACUGCCAGCUUAGACUGAGGACUGCGGCUUCGGCCUAGGAUGUUGGCAUAAUGAUCUUAAGUCGCCCGUCU
RNAcentral lists this ribosomal RNA (510 nucleotides) under Lodderomyces parapsilosis. Its description in RNAcentral is "eukaryotic LSU rRNA". It matches the Rfam family "Eukaryotic large subunit ribosomal RNA", at positions 128 to 654 of the family's 3401-position model. Lineage: Eukaryota; Fungi; Ascomycota; Pichiomycetes; Serinales; Debaryomycetaceae. The record is from RNAcentral.